RNAcentral lists this ribosomal RNA (250 nucleotides) under uncultured bacterium. Its description in RNAcentral is "partial 16S ribosomal RNA". It matches the Rfam family "Bacterial small subunit ribosomal RNA", at positions 524 to 776 of the family's 1533-position model. The record is from RNAcentral.
UACGUAGGGGCUAGCGUUGUCCGGAUUUAUUGGGCGUAAAGAGCGUGUAGGCGGCUAGGUAGGUCCGUUGUGAAAACUCGAGGCUCAACCUCGAGACGUCGAUGGAAACCAUCUAGCUAGAGUCCGGAAGAGGAGAGUGGAAUUCCUGGUGUAGCGGUGAAAUGCGCAGAUAUCAGGAAGAACACCCGUGGCGAAGGCGGCUCUCUGGUACGUGACUGACGCUGAGACGCGAAGCGUGGGAGCAAACAGG